AACAGUUUCUCCUCCCUUAGUGUUCAUACCUCAACUUCUAGAAGAGGGCCUCAUCCUCCCUGAUCAAACUAACCUCGUUAUCUCUAG
Long non-coding RNA from Gopherus evgoodei (Goodes thornscrub tortoise), 87 nucleotides. RefSeq lists it as uncharacterized. Lineage: Eukaryota; Metazoa; Chordata; Testudines; Testudinidae. The record is from RefSeq and is a predicted model, not a curated record. The transcript is spliced from 3 exons.